RNA transcript from Tripterygium wilfordii, 5370 nucleotides. It is a transcript of the gene named mediator of RNA polymerase II transcription subunit 12-like, with no coding region annotated. The transcript is spliced from 9 exons. The record is from RefSeq and is a predicted model, not a curated record. NCBI's taxonomy places the organism in Eukaryota, Viridiplantae, Streptophyta, Magnoliopsida, Celastrales, Celastraceae.
UUCUGUCGGCCCAAGCCUCUAGUUGUCCGUCUUCUUUGCGUUUUCACGCGAACUCGCGAAGACAUCAUCGCAGCGCAGCCCUAAAUUUCCCAUUCUCUUCGCGUGAAAACUGAGAGGGCUAUACCCAUCUUCUUCAUUGUUUCGCCGUCUGCAAUCAAGGGCGACUGGGCGAGACUUGUCGUCUGUUAGGUUAGUUGAUUUGGUCAUUGGCUCUCUUGGGGUUGAUGGUCGUGGGCAAAUGGCGAGACCUCUUAUUGGCAGUGGGCUCUGUUGAUCGCAGUAGGCUCUGCUGGUUCUGUUGGUUGCUAUAGUUGAAGGUCGCAAUAGGCUCUUCUGGUUCUGUUUCUCUCAGUAGGCUCCGCUGGUUCUGUAAGUGAGGUCUCAGUAGGAACAUUGGAAGUUGAGCCAUAUCGCAAGCCAUUAUGGGAUUUGAUAACGAGUGCAUACUGAACAUCCAGUCUCUGGCGGGCGAGUAUUUCUGUCCUGUUUGUCGUUUGCUUGUGUACCCAAAUGAAGCGCUACAAUCCCAAUGCACUCACCUUUACUGUAAACCAUGUUUAACAUAUAUUGUGAGCACUACCCGGGCUUGCCCCUAUGAUGGUUAUUUGGUGACAGAAGCAGAUUCGAAGCCUCUUAUAGAAUCAAAUGAGCCACUUGCUGAAACCAUUGGCAAAAUAAUUGUUCGCUGUCUAUAUCAUAGAAGUGGUUGCACGUGGCAGGGUCCUCUAUCCGAUUGUACAACUCAUUGUUCUGAAUGUGCUUUUGGCAACUCACCAGUUGUCUGCAACAGGUGUGCAGUUCAAAUUGUGCAUCGUCAAGUGCAGGAACAUGCACAAAAUUGUCCUGGCGUGCAGCAGCCUCAGGGUGGUCAGGAAGUCACGGCCACGAGCACAGCUACGGUUGGUGAUCAAACCCAGAUUGCUGCACAGGCAGCAUCUCAGGUUCAAAUCACAACAGCCCAAACAGCAGGACAGAAUGUUGCACAGCCAGCAAGUGCAAAUUCCCAGGCCCAGGUUGUCGCUCAGGCUGCUGGGCCAACUCCAGAGCAGUGGUAUCAACAACAGUAUCAACAAUACUACCAGAGCUAUCAUGGAUAUGAUCCAUAUCAACAACACUAUCAGCCGCAGAACCCUUACCAACAGACACCGGUUCCACAGUACCAGCAGCAAUUUCAGGGUUAUGUGCAGGCUCAGCCUGUUUCUCAACCUCAGUUGCAGCCUCAUAUCCAGAGUCAAAGCCAACCUCAGUUGCAAGCACCUCCACACUUUCAGGCACCAGUGGCUACUCAACCACAAAAAGAUUUGGCCAGCUCACAGAACCCUACAGUUCAGUCAUAUCCCCAAGCUCAUCCAGUACACUCUCAUCCUCAACAUCCACCAAUUCCUCAGUAUCAGCAGUCUCAGUUAAGAAUGCAGGAUUCUCAGCUCCAAUCCCAGAACCAAGCUGUUCCUCAACAUCCUGCUAAUGCAAUAGCUCAGCAAACACAAGUUCAAAAUCAUCCACAGCCCCAGCCACAACUCCAGCCUCAUCCCCAGCCUUUACCAAAUCACCCUAUACAAGCACAACCACAGCAUUCCAUCCAUGGAGUUACGGGCUAUCAAUCUUACACACAACAUCAAACGUUUCCACAGAUGCAGUUGGGAGCCCAACAAAAUCAGUUGCACGUGGGGCCUCGUGCACAGUCGCAACAUCCUGCUCAAAUACCUGGUCAAUUUCCUGAACAACAACUUGUCCUUCGUCCUUCCCAUUCUCACUCUACCAUUCCAGACCAUCAACCACCAGUUGUGUUGCCUCCAGGUCAAGUCCCAAACGCUCUUCCUGCUCAACAUUCGGGUGUUAAUCCUCGUGCCCAUCAACCUGGGUUAUCUGUGCCUCAGCGACCUGUUAUGCAGCCCAUUCAACGACCCAUCGGCCAGCAGUUUGUGCAGCAGCAACAACCAUUUGUCAGACCACCAAUGGGCCAAGUUCAGAAUCAGAUGAAUCAGCAAAGUCUUUAUGCACAGCAACUACUGCCUUUGCAGCCUCAGUUAUGCCUUCAGGGCCCAACUUUCCCGCAACAGGCUCAUGUCUAUCCACAGAUGCAGCAGAAUGUUGUCAUGCCAACUAAUAAACUGCAAAAUCUUGUAGGAAAGCCUGUGGUGCCUAUUCAUGGAGCACAAUCACAGCCACAUCUACAAUCUACAGCUGGCAUGCAAGUUGUGCCGAUGCAGAUUGGCCCAACCCUUCAAUCUGCCAAUAAUCCCGCUGAUAAUGACCAAGUCCAAUUGUCAUCCGAACAGCAGGUGAGUUCGAGACCUGCAAUAUCUGGGAAGCAAGGCGAUCUCACUUUUGAAAAAAGUGAAGCAGACCAAGAAUCUGAAACUGAUAAACCUGCAAAUGAUGAUAUUAAGCGCGAUGGAAAAGUUGAAGAGAAAAGUAGUCCUGCUGAUGCAUCUAGUAUGGAGAAUCCAGAAUCUCAUGCAACAGAAAAUAGAGAACCUGUGAUUAAGCAUCCGGUAAAGGAAGAGGUUAUAAGGGGUACUGAGGACAAGAAAGAUGUUUCUAGUGUUGACCAUAAAAAAUUUGAUCAUAUACUCCCAGGGGACAAAAAGUUGGAAAGUCAACUUCUUGAUGAACGGAGUGGGAAGGAUAAGAGUGGAGCUGUAAAACAGUUUCAAUAUCAAAGCGCUGCAGCAGAUGAAUUUCGAGGGCUUCCUAGUCAUGGUGUUCAAGCUGAGGGCCCAUUUACUGAUCAGGGUAGAAAUCAGGCUCCACCUAGCCAUUAUGGACCUUCUGCGCUUCAAGACAGAGCUGUUACCCCUUCAUUGUUCCCAGCACAACUGCCAGGGGACCCUUCCUCCCAAUCUGGACCUUUACCUCAUCGGAGACAGCCUCCAAAUGCCUCCAAUCUCCAGCCACUUGGGUUCCGGCAGCUUCAUAGUACUGAGAGUGGGAUCCUUGGCCCUGAUGCAGCACAUUUUGGGAGUGGACCAGGUCAUGGCGGACUGCAGCAUAGAAUUGAACAGCAGUCAGUUGCUCUUCAAGGACCUUAUAUUCAAGUUCAUGUGCCUCCUCCCCACACUGGGCCUCCUAGAAUAUCUCAUGGUGAACUCACUGGAGGAAUGCCAUCUGGAACACUGCAAUCUAGUGCAUUUGAUUCACAAAGCGGGAUGAUGGCAAGAGCACCUAUGGGUGCUGAAAUACUUCCAAAUAAGAGGCCUGGCUAUAUGGAUGGCAGAGAACCUGAUCUACAUUUUCCUGGGUCCUUGGGACGGGGUUUUGGGUUACAAAGUGAAAUGUUUAAACCUUUCUCGGAAGAUCAUUUGAAUCCCUUACCACUGGACCGUGAUCGACACAUCAUCAGUAGAGGUAAAUUUGAGGAAGAUCUUAAGAAAUUCCCUAGGCCUUCUAGUUUGGAGAAUGAACCUCUUCCAAGAUUUGGGUGUGAUCUGUCUUCAUCUUCAACCCUUAAUCGAGGCCCUCCUGGCUUUGGCAUAGAUUCUGCACCAGGUCCUCAUGACAAGAGACCCUAUGGACUGAACAAUGAUCCAAUGUUAAAAGUAGCCGUUGGUCCUGCCCCAGCAAGAUUCUUGCCUCCAUACGCUGGUGGUGGUAAAUUCCAUCCCACUGAUGCAGGAGAAAUAAUUGUUGGUCGUCGCAAAGAUAGUAUGGGAAAAUCAGAUUCUGAUCGUACUCAUCCUGAUUUCCUUGGACCCGUUCCAGGUUAUGGUCGAUACCACAGCGAUGGUUUGCCUGCUAGAAGUCCAGUCAGAGAAUACCCUGGCAUGACGUCACAUGGAUUUAGAGGAUUGACUGAUGGCGGGGAAUCCCAGCGAUUUGGUGAUCCAAUUGGCCGUUCAUUUCAUGAAAGUAGGUUUCCCAUUUUGCCCAAUAAUGUGCGGAGGGGUGAGUUUGAGGGUCCGGGUAGUUUGCGCUUGGCCGAACAUUUCGUUCAAGAUAGCUUUUCUGGCCAUUCACGAAGAGCUGAACAUUUGAGUUCGCACAACUUGCAUGGUCAUUUGCGACUGGGAGAGCCAGUUGGUUUUGGUGCCUUUCCUGGUCAUAGACGGAUGGAAUUGGCUGGGCCUGGAAACUUCCCUCGUCCUCGACUUGGUGAGCCUGGAUUCAGGAGCAGCCUUUUGCUUCAGGGAGAAAUGGAGCCUUUUGAUAGUACAAGAAAGAGGAAGCCAGUCAGCAUGGGAUGGUGUCGUAUUUGUAAGCAGGAUUGUGGAUCUGUGGAAGGUUUAGAAAUGCACUCUCAAACCAGGGAGCAUCAGAGAAAGGCCAUUGAUAUGGUUUCCAUAAUCAAAGAAAAUGCCAAAAAACAGAAAAUAGUUCCCAAUGAUCGCACCACUCUUGAUGAAACAAGCAAGUCAAAGAAUUCUGGUGUUGAGGGUCGCUGGAAUAAACAUUAGGCAUGAUGAUGUGCUGCAUCCUGGCUAGCAACUGUUUCAUCAAUGUCUUGGGGUCAAAUAUGUUCCUUUGAUAUUCUGCAUUUCCUUCCAUGCAUCUUUUUACUUUCCAGGGUGGUUUAUGCUAGUAUUGUCAUUUCAGGUUGCUGUCAUGUGAAGGGAGUGGGUUUUUGGAACUGAAGUUACUGAUGCAGGCUAUAACAGAAGUUUUGGGGCACCCUUUUCAAUGUUGGAUGGCAAUCCUGGCUUCAAGCUUUUGGUUCUUCGUUAUAUUUUAUCCAGGAUGAUUGUAUGAUAGUUGACGGUGCCAAUGAGUGUGUGGAUAGAUUAUCUAUUACUAGACAAGGCUACUUUUAUCAUUGGAAGCAAUGCUCAUGGAAUUGGCUAUGGUCUCUACUAUAUGCCACUCCUAUUAGUUGGCAGAGAAGCCCAUUGUUUCAGGGUUCUAGUUUUGUUUUUGGCAGCUCUGGAGGAAAACUCACCAGAGCAAGUCAUUCCCAGUUGCCACUCUAGGAAUCGCAAUCUCACAAAGUGCAAGACCUCUACAGUUACAAUUUUGUAAGACCAAUAAAUGAUAUAGGGAUUUACUCCUCAGAUAUGAUGGAUUCAUCCCUCUCUCGUUCAGAUAUGGUGCUUUGGGCGACGAUGUGGGUUUCUCGGUUGUCGCCGUCUUUGUGUUGUCCGUAUCAAGGUUACGAGGUUACGAAGAAAACAUGUCAACAAUUCAAUGGCUUCUCUCCAAAUCUAGUUAUUUGGGGAGUUUUCAAUGCAGUGCACCUAAGUGCCCCUAUUGUUGCGUCAAGAAAAGAGUUGUAGCUCUUCCCCACACUAUUGUUGUGGACUCUUUUUUUGUUCUUGUUAUUGGAUUUCUGGUUUUGUUGUGGUACUGUCUUUGGAGGUGGACGAUCCUCCUCAUGUCUAUAUUAUGUAACCCGUUUGUUAUGAUAUAAGUGUUUCUUUGUUUCUCAAAAAAAAAAAA